GACGAACGCUGGCGGCGUGCCUAAUACAUGCAAGUAGAACGCACAGUUUAUACCGUAGCUUGCUACACCAUAGACUGUGAGUUGCGAACGGGUGAGUAACGCGUAGGUAACCUGCCUGGUAGCGGGGGAUAACUAUUGGAAACGAUAGCUAAUACCGCAUAAUAUUGAUUAUUGCAUGAUAAUUGAUUGAAAGAUGCUAUUGCAUCACUACCAGACGGACCUGCGUUGUAUUAGCUAGUAGGUGAGGUAACGGCUCACCUAGGCGACGAUACAUAGCCGACCUGAGAGGGUGAUCGGCCACACUGGGACUGAGACACGGCCCAGACUCCUACGGGAGGCAGCAGUAGGGAAUCUUCGGCAAUGGACGAAAGUCUGACCGAGCAACGCCGCGUGAGUGAAGAAGGUUUUCGGAUCGUAAAGCUCUGUUGUAAGAGAAGAACGGGUGUGAGAGUGGAAAGUUCACACUGUGACGGUAUCUUACCAGAAAGGGACGGCUAACUACGUG
RNAcentral lists this ribosomal RNA (505 nucleotides) under uncultured bacterium. RNAcentral's name for it is "partial 16S ribosomal RNA". It matches the Rfam family "Bacterial small subunit ribosomal RNA", at positions 28 to 507 of the family's 1533-position model. The record is from RNAcentral.